CAGAAUUUUGUAGUGCCAGAAUCAAUCCAUAGGUUUUUGGGCCCUUGAGGAUAGUCACAGAAUGAUGCAUCUCAUUGCUGCAACUCCCAGUGACCCGUUCUGGUUCUGUCUCCUGAUUAUCUCCCUAAAAAUCUGCGGAUGGCUGCUUCACCUCUUCAGUCACCAGGGACUGCUCAACCAUCAGUUUCCAGAGCAAUCUCAUCAUCAGUCCACUACGGUGGAGAGAGGAGUGCCAGAGAAUCAAGUAAAAGACAGUUUUAACUCCAGCUAAAAGAAGGAAAGUCAACCUGCAUGACAUUUAUUUAUCAACGCUGGACAAAAAGUGACAGAAAUGGUCAUAAGCAUGGAUAUUGCAGCCUUUACAUCUUUUGUCUCAUCUGAAUAUCCCGGACAUCAAAGAAGAACUAGAGAGCCCCUGGGUGAAUGUUCUUUCUCAUACCGUGACUCUCAGGAUCUUGGCUGCAUGGAGACUCAGCUAGGAAAGAGAAGGAGGAUGAUCCAACCCUUGAAGAAGUUCACUCUUGGAGAUGUUGAAGACACAACUGCAUAAAACCAUAUGCAUCUGUGUUUGACCUCAAGAUGAUCCUGCUUUGAGCAGAACCUUGGACUGGAGACCUGCUGUAGUCCUAUCCAACCUGACCUAUCCUGUGAUGGUAAAUUCACAGAGGAGAGAGGACAAUAAUAAAAGGGAUCUUAAAAGCGGUUAUACUUUGUUAUGAAUGUAGAAAGUACAACUUUGCCUCCAAUAAUUAAAGCACAAGUUGUUUUACUGACCAUCCGGCCAUGGGAGUGUCAGACAUUAUCCACAGCAAAUUUUGCAAAAUAACAUACAGCUUGGAACAUUUAAAUCUACAAGGAGGAAAGAAAAAAUGAGAAGUAACAACUGACAUAUAUUUUUUUUUACAUAAGGAAAAGUAAAUUCAAAUAAUAUUUUCAUUGAAAUAUACUGUGGAUAACUUACUACACUCUCUGUGUCAAUGAGGUUUUGACAUUUAUCUGAUAGACUACUUGGUUUUGGGGUAGAAAAAUAUAGAAUAUUUCCCACAGAAAUAAGAGUCUAUUAUGACCAGUUUUAGGCAGCUUUCAUUGGAAGUGAUGAUAUGUUUCCCAAAGUAGAAAGCAGAAAUUAAAUACAAAGACCUUGUUAUGAGAAUGGCUUAGUUAUCAUUUGGAAGACAACCCCAAAUCAGACCAGGGAAUAAGGAGCAACAUAUUUUUUAUCUAAUGCAGUAACUUACCCCAGUUUACUUUGGGUCAAUGUUUUUAUAUUUUUGCCUGAAAAAGAGAAUGUUUUACUUUUCAGAGGUCAGUUGUUAAAAAUAAAGUUAGCUGAAGCUAGACAGUAUUUUACAAGAAGAGCUUUUAUUAAAACCAAUUUUCUGCUGAAAAAAGUCUGAUUGAAAACUUCAAUUCUUUUAAAUACCUGGUUGAGGCUUCAGGUUCUUAAAAAGCUCCAAGGAUGUGAUACAUGCAGGCAACAAAACUUCAGUGUGUUUUAAUUUGUUUUCUAUUAAUAUAUUUUUAAAUCUAUGAACAUUCAGUUCAGUAAAAACCAGUAUUUUCUAAACUUACACAGAAACAAGAAAGAUCUUGAUUCAGUUCUUCAAAUGGAUUUCUGCUUGAAAAUACUAAGAGAAAACUGCAGAGCUGGAAUAAUAUAAAUCAGAGCAAUUAUUCCUGCUGCUAUUCCAAAAAAGUAUACACUUAGAAUCACUGUAAUUUAGUAAACAAAACAUGCACUAGAUGACACAGGGGAGCACAAAAUACAAUAAGGGCUGAUAACAUAUUGCUGGUGAUAUUAAAAUGCUUGUAAUAGUCUGUCUUCAAUGCUGAAAAUAAAGGAGUUCACAAGGAACAACAAAAAAGAGCCAAAGUUUGUGAUGCAUUAAGAAUAACACUGGACUUAACUCUCUUUGUGUGUAUUAAAAUAACUAAGUGCAAAAUAUCUUCAUAACAUGAUGCACUUUUUUUUUUUUGCCAGAGAUAUGUUUGCUAUCCAGGGAUCACUUGUCCUUUCUUUUGAUGUCAGUAGAGUAUUAUUUAACAGACAACUUACCUGAAGUUAGAUGGAUUUUGAAAAUUUUUGUCACAUGACUUUAAUCUUCUUUGGAUGAAAAAAUGUUCUGCUGAGCAAUUAAAAACAUCAGAAUGGUGGUCUGAUUCUGACCUACUCUAAAUGCUAAUGAGAUCCAAACUGCUGCCAUGAACUUCAGAGAAGGAAAAAGCCUAAAGAGACAUAUAUAUUUCUCAGGAGACUGUUGCUCUUUAACCCUCAGGUCUUACUACAAUGAAAAAUCACAUCCAAGGACAUUGACUGUUUCUCAUCACAGUC
Passer domesticus (house sparrow) is the source of this 2332-nucleotide long non-coding RNA. RefSeq lists it as uncharacterized. The record is from RefSeq and is a predicted model, not a curated record. NCBI's taxonomy places the organism in Eukaryota, Metazoa, Chordata, Aves, Passeriformes, Passeridae. The transcript is spliced from 3 exons.